CGUAAACAGCGGCGUAGUCAAUUUCUCUGGUGGAAGUCAGUAUGAAGUGAGCUGUACUGUCUGAGUGAGGCAGCAAAAGCGUAGCUUGCAGUAUCCCAAUUCUACCAGGUCAGCAAGGCUGUCAUGGCGAUGGCGCUGAACUUCAAGACCUGUGGCUGGUUAAGGUGGAUGAGAAACUGAAAAUGUGGGAUUUUUAAAAUUCUGAAAUCAAGCUGUGCCCCCACUAUCCAAUGUCAUCCCACCACUGGACAUCUUCUUGGAUGCAGAACAAUAAUAAACCUUG
This is a long non-coding RNA of Anguilla anguilla (European eel), 283 nucleotides long. RefSeq lists it as uncharacterized. The record is from RefSeq and is a predicted model, not a curated record. The transcript has 3 exons. NCBI's taxonomy places the organism in Eukaryota, Metazoa, Chordata, Actinopteri, Anguilliformes, Anguillidae.